AUUUGAAAUCUCCGACGCUUGCGUCGGCGAGUUGUAGUUGCGAGAAGCACUUUCUCGGCGGAUCGGAUGCGCCUAAGUUGCUUGGAACAGUACGUCGCAGAGGGUGACAACCCCGUCUGUGGCGCGUCCGGCCGCUCACGAUGUGCUUUCGAAGAGUCGGGUUGUUUGGGAAUGCAGCCCAAAACGGGUGGUAAACUCCAUCUAAAGCUAAAUACUGACGUGAGACCGAUAGCGAACAAGUACCGUGAGGGAAAGAUGAAAAGAACUUUGAAAAGAGAGUUAAAAAGUACGUGAAACCGUUGAAAGGGAAACGAAUGGACUCAGCAAUGCGCCGCUCGAGAUUCAGCCGGCCGGCGGAGUCGGCCCGGGGUUUGCGGAUCCGAACGGACCGCGGUCUCGGGCACGUCUCCGUCGACCGUCGCACUUCUCUUGGGCGCGCGUCAACGUCGGUCGGUUCUGGGUCUGAAGGGUUCCGGGAAGGUGAGUGCGCGCUUCUCUCCUCGGGGAGUCGUGCGUUCCGUUAUAGCCCGGUUCUCGGAUUGGCUCGGAGUCGACCGAGGCGGUCGCAGCGCAUGCCUCUUCUGGCUAGGGUCCCGUCUUUCCGGCCGGUCGUCGACCGCGGUGGACUGCUUGCAGUGCUCCGCGACUGCUGCCGGUCGUUGGGGCGGUGAUCU
This 674-nucleotide ribosomal RNA is filed under the name Javania cailleti. Its description in RNAcentral is "eukaryotic LSU rRNA". It matches the Rfam family "Eukaryotic large subunit ribosomal RNA", at positions 113 to 497 of the family's 3401-position model. Lineage: Eukaryota; Metazoa; Cnidaria; Anthozoa; Scleractinia; Flabellidae. The record is from RNAcentral.